UACUCGAGUGGCGAACGGGUGAGUAACACGUGGGUGAUCUGCCCUGCACUUCGGGAUAAGCUUGGGAAACUGGUCUAAUACCGGAUAGGAGCCAUCUUUAGUGUGGUGGUUGGAAAGUUUUUUCGGUGUAGGAUGAGCUCGCGGCCUAUCAGCUUGUUGGUGGGGUAAUGGCCUACCAAGGCGGCGACGGGUAGCCGGCCUGAGAGGGUGUACGGCCACAUUGGGACUGAGAUACGGCCCAG
This 242-nucleotide ribosomal RNA is filed under the name uncultured Actinomycetales bacterium. RNAcentral's name for it is "partial 16S ribosomal RNA". It matches the Rfam family "Bacterial small subunit ribosomal RNA", at positions 88 to 334 of the family's 1533-position model. Lineage: Bacteria; Bacillati; Actinomycetota; Actinomycetes; Actinomycetales. The record is from RNAcentral.